RNAcentral lists this ribosomal RNA (525 nucleotides) under uncultured bacterium. RNAcentral describes it as "bacterial SSU rRNA". It matches the Rfam family "Bacterial small subunit ribosomal RNA", at positions 381 to 896 of the family's 1533-position model. The record is from RNAcentral.
CCGUGACGGAGUGACGCCGCGUGUGGGACGAAGGCCUUCGGGUCGUAAACCACUGUCAGUGGGAAAGAUGGGUGUCGGCGCGAUAACCGCCGGCAUCUGACGGUACCUGCAGAGGAAGCCCCGGCCAACUCUGUGCCAGCAGCCGCGGUAAGACAGAGGGGGCAAGCGUUGCUCGGAAUUACUGGGCGUAAAGGGCGCGUAGGCGGAAUGGCAAGUCGGUCGUGAAAUCCUUCGGCUCAACCGAAGAACGUCGAUCGAAACUGCCGUUCUUGAGGAUUGCAGAGGAGACUGGAAUUCCCGGUGUAGCGGUGAAAUGUGUAGAGAUCGGGAGGAACACCGGUGGCGAAGGCGGGUCUCUGGGCAAUUCCUGACGCUGAGGCGCGAAAGCGUGGGGAGCAAACGGGAUUAGAUACCCCGGUAGUCCACGCUGUAAACGAUGACGACUAGGUGUGGGGGGGUUCAGUCCCUUCCGUGCCGCAGCUAACGCAUUAAGUCGUCCGCCUGGGGAGUACGGCCGCAAGGUUG